This 29-nucleotide non-coding RNA is filed under the name Homo sapiens (human). The record is from RNAcentral. Lineage: Eukaryota; Metazoa; Chordata; Mammalia; Primates; Hominidae.
GAGGUGGCUGCAUUGCCAGUGGGUGCAAA